This 497-nucleotide ribosomal RNA is filed under the name uncultured bacterium. RNAcentral describes it as "partial 16S ribosomal RNA". It matches the Rfam family "Bacterial small subunit ribosomal RNA", at positions 28 to 507 of the family's 1533-position model. The record is from RNAcentral.
GACGAACGCUGGCGGCGUGCCUAAUACAUGCAAGUUGAGCGCUGAAGGUUGGUACUUGUACCGACUGGAUGAGCAGCGAACGGGUGAGUAACGCGUGGGGAAUCUGCCUUUGAGCGGGGGACAACAUUUGGAAACGAAUGCUAAUACCGCAUAAAAACUUUAAACACAAGUUUUAAGUUUGAAAGAUGCAAUUGCAUCACUCAAAGAUGAUCCCGCGUUGUAUUAGCUAGUUGGUGAGGUAAAGGCUCACCAAGGCGAUGAUACAUAGCCGACCUGAGAGGGUGAUCGGCAACAUUGGGACUGAGACACGGCCCAAACCCCUACGGGAGGCAGCAGUAGGGAAUCUUCGGCAAUGGACGAAAGUCUGACCGAGCAACGCCGCGUGAGUGAAGAAGGUUUUCGGAUCGUAAAACUCUGUUGGUAGAGAAGAACGUUGGUGAGAGUGGAAAGCUCAUCAAGUGACGGUAACUACCCAGAAAGGGACGGCUAACUACGUG